UACGUAGGUGGCAAGCGUUGUCCGGAUUUAUUGGGUUUAAAGGGUGCGUAGGCGGUCCUAUAAGUCAGUGGUGAAAUACGGCAGCUUAACUGUCGAGGUGCCAUUGAUACUGUAGGACUAGAGUACUGUUGAGGUAGGCGGAAUGGACGGUGUAGCGGUGAAAUGCUUAGAUAUCGUCCAGAACACCGAUAGCGAAGGCAGCUUACUAAAGAGUAACUGACGCUGAGGCACGAAAGUGUGGGGAUCAAACAGG
RNAcentral lists this ribosomal RNA (253 nucleotides) under uncultured bacterium. RNAcentral describes it as "partial 16S ribosomal RNA". It matches the Rfam family "Bacterial small subunit ribosomal RNA", at positions 524 to 776 of the family's 1533-position model. The record is from RNAcentral.